GAGCACGUAGGCGGAUGGGUAAGUCGGACGUUAAAGCCCCAGGCUCAACCGAAGAAUUGCAUCCGAAACUGCCUAUCUUGAGCGCAGGAGGGGAGAGUGGAACUCGUGGUGGAGCGGUGAAAUGCGUAGAUAUCACGUGGAACGCCGGUGGCGAAAGCGACUCUCUGGCUCGCUUCUGACGCUGAGGCGCGAAAGCUAGGGGAGCGAACGGGAUUAGAUACCCCGGUAGUCCUGGCCGUAAACGAUGGGCACUAAGAAGUGGGGUU
Molecule: ribosomal RNA, 266 nt
Filed under: uncultured anaerobic ammonium-oxidizing bacterium
Lineage: Bacteria
Description: partial 16S ribosomal RNA
Rfam family: Bacterial small subunit ribosomal RNA
Source: RNAcentral